AUGCCUCCAGCCAAAGCCAAGAAACUCCGGCGGGCCGCGGCUGCGGCCGCCCCCCCAGAGAGCUCCCCGGCGCCCCCUCCGGCUGCGGCGGAGACACCUCCCGCGGCCGCCACCCCAGAGAGAUCCCCGGCGCCCCCUCCGGCUGUGCCGGAGACCACUCCCGCUGCCGCCCCGCCAGAGACCUCUCCGGCGCGCGCUCCGGUUGUGGCGGCGACCCCUCCCGAGUCGUCGGAGGCUAGUGUUACGGUUGCGGAGGAUGGUGGCGGGAAGGACAAGAUGGCGGUGGAGGAUCUCGGUGAGGUGGAGCGUGAGGAGGCCACCGGGGCGGAGUCCGUAGAGGAGGAGCCCGAGGAGGAGGAGCCGGAGGAGGUGGAGGAGUCGGAGGAGGUGGAGGNNNNNNNNNNNNNNNNNGAGGAGGAGGAGGAGGAGGAGGACCCUGAUGGGGAGGAUGAUCCCGAGGAAGCGGAGGAGGAUGCUGAGGACGUGGAGGAGGAUCCUGAGGACCCAGAGGAGGAAGCCGACGCAGUCGAGGAUGAUGAGGAGGAUACGGUGCUGGCGGCUGGGUCGGAGAAGACGGUGACUGUGGAGGGCGGUGCUGAGGAGGAAGCGAUGGUGACCAUAUCCAAGGAGGGCGGCGGUGAAGUUACGGGGUUAGAGUCUGCCGUGGUAGAGGAGCCCGAGGAGGCUGCUAAUGUGGAUGAGGGACAAGAAGAGGCAGAAGAGGAGGAAGCUGAAGAGGAUGCAAUGGAAGAGGAUGCUACAGAGGUCCCGGGAGAUGGCGCCACCCCAGAUGACAUGAAUGAACUAUCUGAAGAAGAACAUGAAGAAUCUGGGCAUGAAGGUACACAUGGGAAUAACAACGAGGGUGGUGUUGCCUGCCAGUUGAGUGUCCAUUCUGAGGCGCAGAAUGGUCAACUUGACUCCUCAUUGCCUACACUAGGUUCAGUUUCAGUGGGCAAUACUAAAGACUUGCAAGUAUUUCUUCAUGGAUUGCCUAAGGAUUGUGCUGAGAAAGACAUUACAGAGGUCUUUUCUCAAUUCGGAGAGAUUGAAUCUAUUAAAACAAUUAGAAAAAAGAACAGCAUUGCAUUCGUUCGUUAUAUGAGCACUGAAGCUGCAAAGAAGGCUCUUGCCGAAUUUAAGGAGGGAGCUGAGGUGACAGGGGGAAGGGUUAAAGUAUCAGCUUCUAGAGGUGAUAAUACCCUUUACCUUAGCAACAUCUGCAAAAGCUGGACAAAAGAGCAGGUGCGAACUUCCUUGAGAAGUAUCGGAAUCGAUGGAUUUGAUAUGAGUUUACCCGUUGAUCCUGAAACUGGAGGACAAAACCGAGGGAUUACUUUUCUCAAAUUUGCUUCGCCUGACAACGCCAAAGCUGCAUCUCAGCUGCUACAGCAACCAGAUGCAUUGAUUACCAUUGUUAAAAGUGUGAAGGAAUCUGCUCAAAUCCCUACAGAAUCAAGCCUGGAGCUUGCUAUGCUGCAGGUUAAAACAGUAUACCUCGAACAUGUUCCUCUUUCUUGGGAUAAGGGCAAAGUUAAAGAAUGUUGCAAAGCAUAUGGGGUGAUUCAGGAUGUUCACAUUUUAAAGAAGUCAAAAACGAAAACUUCUUUUGUUGAAUUCUCAUCCAGGAAGAGUGCAUUAGCUUGUGUGGAAGGAAUAAACAGUGCCAAUAUUGGUGGUGAAGUUAAGCUGGCUGCAAGUCUUGCUCGACCACGUCGGGAAACACAACUGGACAAGAAGAGUGCUAAAGGUGGGGUCAAGGUCAAUAGUGAUGCAACUUCCAAAGACACCAACAAUUCUAUUAAGAAAAAGAACCAGAAUAGGGAGGUCAGAGUGAAGAAGGAUUCACCACAUAAAUUGCGAAAAGGUGAUGUGAGCAAGCUGACCUCACAUGUUGAUGCGAAAGUACCACAAUCAUCCAACCCAUCUAAAGGCAAACGGAAAGCUGGAAAGACUGAAAAUACCGCUGUAAAUGAAAGGGCACCGAAGAGAGCACGGAAGAAUCGUGGUGUUCUGACAAAACCUUCCAACAGAACAUCUCAUGGUGGUCAUGCUAGAGUUCCCUAUGCAGGAGAAUCUUCUGGAAACAUUAAGCGCCCUGUGGGACCUCAAUAUGUAACUGGCAACCAAUCUUACCCCAUUGCGGGCGCAUCUUCCAGAUCUAAACCAAAUGCUCGUGACCUGGAACCUCAUGCUGGAUACAUCCCUCCUACAAAUCGUGUUCGUGCACCUGCAAAUCAUGUUCCAGUCACCUAUGUUUAUGAUCAUCCGAGAAGCGCACCAUCCACUAUCCAUCACAUUGACGGUCUUCCUUAUGCUAGAGAAAUAGCAGCUCCACCACCAGCCUAUGGGUACACAAGCAAUCCUCAAUACCAGGAUGGAUAUGCAUACGCCUACCACCCCCCGCCUCAUCCAAGUGGAUCUUACCACUACCCAGGAACCGGCGCAUAUAGCCCUCGAAGGAGAUACUACUGA
This 2475-nucleotide ribosomal RNA is filed under the name Triticum aestivum (bread wheat). RNAcentral describes it as "partial small subunit ribosomal RNA". The record is from RNAcentral. Lineage: Eukaryota; Viridiplantae; Streptophyta; Magnoliopsida; Poales; Poaceae.